Molecule: long non-coding RNA, 558 nt
Organism: Eleginops maclovinus (Patagonian blennie)
Lineage: Eukaryota; Metazoa; Chordata; Actinopteri; Perciformes; Eleginopidae
Exons: 3
Source: RefSeq, a predicted model, not a curated record
ACCAGUCGACCAUCCCAGAGUGAUGCAAACGCGGGAUUCAGACGAAGGCCUCGGGCUUGCUGUCCUCGUUGGCCUUGACGUAGAUCUUGGGGUCGUCCAGGCGCUCGUCCCGGAGGCGCUGCAGCGUCCGGCUGUGGCACAGCAGAGUGGGUCUCCCUCCAGCGGUCCGACCAUGGCCAUGAAGAGGGGCUGCUGCAGGAGGGCGAACAGAGCGCUGAUCAGAGACUGCAUCCCCGUCAGGCUGCCGAACUGAGAGGACGGGUACCUGCAGGGGACAAACGACACGCUCAAGCUGGAGGUCAACCAUCUAAAUGUUGGAGCAUUUAAUUGAGCAUUUUCUGCAUGAAAUGUGAAUUUCAUUUGAAACAGUUCAGUAAAGGAACUCGUAACCAUCGUCUGUGUUAAGGAUGCUUUAUGUUUACAUUCAACAUAUGUGUGCAUGCCACUAAUAUUGUGAAUUGAGAUUGGAGAAAUAAGAGAAGGUGAAAAAAAAGAUUUCCUCUUAAUUUAUCGCAAGUUUUAACCAAAUGUUGAAGAGAAUUGACCGUAGUAAAUGCC